GAUGAACGCUGGCGGCGUGCCUAAUACAUGCAAGUCGAGCGAACGGACGAGAAGCUUGCUUCUCUGAUGUUAGCGGCGGACGGGUGAGAAACACGUGGAUAACCUACCUAUAAGACUGGGAUAACUUCGGGAAACCGGAGCUAAUCCCGGAUAAUAUUUUGAACCGCAUGGUUCAAAAGUGAAAGACGGUCUUGCUGUCACUUAUAGAUGGAUCCGCGCUGCAUUAGCUAGUUGGUAAGGUAACGGCUUACCAAGGCAACGAUGCAUAGCCGACCUGAGAGGGUGAUCGGCCACACUGGAACUGAGACACGGUCCAGACUCCUACGGGAGGCAGCAGUAGGGAAUCUUCCGCAAUGGGCGAAAGCCUGACGGAGCAACGCCGCGUGAGUGAUGAAGGUCUUCGGAUCGUAAAACUCUGUUAUUAGGGAAGAACAUAUGUGUAAGUAACUGUGCACAUCGUGACGGUACCUAAUCAGAAAGCCACGGCUAACUACGUG
RNAcentral lists this ribosomal RNA (497 nucleotides) under uncultured bacterium. RNAcentral's name for it is "partial 16S ribosomal RNA". It matches the Rfam family "Bacterial small subunit ribosomal RNA", at positions 28 to 507 of the family's 1533-position model. The record is from RNAcentral.